GUCAGCUACCAAGGCUCACGGCCGGAAUACCUUGUCACACAAAGCGAUGAAAGGACGUGUUACCUGGCAUAAGUCUUCGGGGAGCUAGGAGACACGCUUGUAUUCCUCUGCGAGUU
RNAcentral lists this ribosomal RNA (116 nucleotides) under uncultured Synechococcus sp. RNAcentral describes it as "partial 23S ribosomal RNA". Lineage: Bacteria; Bacillati; Cyanobacteriota; Cyanophyceae; Synechococcales; Synechococcaceae. The record is from RNAcentral.